Molecule: ribosomal RNA, 254 nt
Filed under: uncultured bacterium
Lineage: Bacteria
Description: partial 16S ribosomal RNA
Rfam family: Bacterial small subunit ribosomal RNA
Source: RNAcentral
UACGGAGGGUGCAAGCGUUGUCCGGAUUUAUUGGGUUUAAAGGGUGCGUAGGCGGCUAAUUAAGUCAGCGGUGAAAUUCUACAGCUUAACUGUUAGAACUGCCAUUGAUACUGGUUGGCUUGAGUACAGAUGAGGUAGGCGGAAUUGACAGUGUAGCGGUGAAAUGCGUAGAUAUCUGGAGGAACACCGGUGGCGAAGGCGGCAUCCUGGACCGACACUGACGCUGAGGAGCGAAAGCCAGGGGAGCAAACGGG